GCCCUAGCCACACCUCCCCUGGCUAUGAUUGACAGAGCCUGCAUGGAAAAAAAAAACUGGUUUCACUUUCAAACAGAUGUAAUUUACCUUAAAUAAUUGUAUCUCAAUCUCUAAAUUGAACUUUAAUCACAUACAGGAGUCUCUUGCAGGGUCUAGCAAGCUAAUAACGUAGCAGGGGAUAAGAAAAUCUUAAUUAAACAGAACUUGCAAUAAAGAAAGCCUAAAUAGGGCUCUCUUUGCAGGAAGUGUUUAUGGAAGGCUGGGCAAGUCACAUGCAGGGAGGUGUGACUAGGGUUCAUAAACAAAGGGAUUUAACUCCUAAAUGGCAGAGGAUUGAGCAGUGAGGCUGCAGGGGCAUGUUC
This 362-nucleotide long non-coding RNA is filed under the name Pelobates cultripes (western spadefoot toad). The record is from RNAcentral. Lineage: Eukaryota; Metazoa; Chordata; Amphibia; Anura; Pelobatidae.